GAUGAACGCUAGCGGCAGGCUUAAUACAUGCAAGUCGAGGGGCAUCAAGGUACACGAAAGUGUAUUGUUGGCGACCGGCGGACGGGUGAGUAAUAGGUAGGUAACCUACCUCAUACUGAGGCAUAGCUGGGAGAAAUUCCAGGUAAUUCCUCAUGAGGUUAUAUGACACAUGUGAUAUAAUCAAAGGUAUCGCAAGGUACUGGUAUGAGAUGGGCUUACUGACCAUUAGCUAGUUGGUGAGAUAAGAGCUCACCAAGGCGAAGAUGGUUAGGGGUUUUGAGAGAGAGAUCCCCCACAUUGGAACUGAGAUACGGUCCAGACUCCUACGGGAGGCAGCAGUAGGGAAUAGUUGGGCAAUGGGCGGAAGCCUGACCCAGCCAUGCCGCGUGAAGGAAGACGGCCUUAUGGGUUAGUAAACUUCUUUACUAUGCGACUAACUAGUAUUUACGAGAUAAUUCUAUAGAAUGUAGCAUAGACAAAAAGCACCGGUA
RNAcentral lists this ribosomal RNA (491 nucleotides) under uncultured bacterium. RNAcentral's name for it is "bacterial SSU rRNA". It matches the Rfam family "Bacterial small subunit ribosomal RNA", at positions 28 to 498 of the family's 1533-position model. The record is from RNAcentral.